This 233-nucleotide long non-coding RNA is filed under the name Mytilus galloprovincialis (Mediterranean mussel). Lineage: Eukaryota; Metazoa; Mollusca; Bivalvia; Mytilida; Mytilidae. The record is from RNAcentral.
UUUUUUUUUUAACUUUAAUUAGGUUGUCGGUUUUCUAGAUAAACUUGUUUUACAAUUGUCAUUUGGGGACUUUGUAUACCUGACUAUGAAUUAUGGGCUUUCCUCAUUGUUUAAGGUUGUACGGUGACCUAUACAGCUGUUAAUUUCUGUGUCAUUUGGUCUCUUGUGUACAAUUGUCUCGUGGGUAAUCAUACAACAUUUUCUUGCUUAUAAUUAUAAAAAAGAGUGGGCUA